This 497-nucleotide ribosomal RNA is filed under the name uncultured bacterium. RNAcentral describes it as "partial 16S ribosomal RNA". It matches the Rfam family "Bacterial small subunit ribosomal RNA", at positions 28 to 507 of the family's 1533-position model. The record is from RNAcentral.
GAUGAACGCUGGCGGCGUGCCUAAUACAUGCAAGUCGAGCGAACGGACGAGAAGCUUGCUUCUCUGAUGUUAGCGGCGGACGAGGGAGUAACACGUGGAGAACCUACCUAUAAGACUGGGAUAACUUCGGGAAGCCGUAGCUAAUACCGCGUAAUAUUUUGAACCGCAUGGUUCAAAAGUGAAGGACGGUCUUGCUGUCACUUAUAGAUGGAUCCGCGCUGCAUUAGCUAGUUGGUAAGGUAACGGCUUACCAAGGCAACGAUGCAUAGCCGACCUGAGAGGGUGAUCGGCGACACUGGAACUGCGACACGGCCCAGACGCCUACGGGAGGCAGCAGUAGGGAAUCUUACGGAAUGGGCGAAAGCCUGACGGAGCAACGCCGCGUGAGGGAGGAAGGUCUUCGGAUCGUAAAACACUGUUAUUAGGGAAGAACAUAUGUGUAAGUAACUGUGCACGGCUUGACGGUACCUAAUCAGAAAGCCACGGCUAACUACGUG